This is a long non-coding RNA of Andrographis paniculata, 614 nucleotides long. RefSeq lists it as uncharacterized. The record is from RefSeq and is a predicted model, not a curated record. NCBI's taxonomy places the organism in Eukaryota, Viridiplantae, Streptophyta, Magnoliopsida, Lamiales, Acanthaceae. The transcript is spliced from 2 exons.
UUUGUGCAAGACAAAAAACUAAAAUACAAUCAGACAAUCUUUGCUUUUCUCUGAUUAUGUUUUCAAUUUUGCCCGAAUCCUAAAUGAGUUAAGCCUUAUGAUACACAAAAUUUGAAAUCAUAGCAUGUUCUUAGAUUAAGGAGGCCUUCCGACUUGUUAGGGCUAGAGGGGGUCAGGGUGACCAUCGUGAUGAUGCACCCGCUCAUCUAGAUCUAAAUGAUGAUUCAGGUAUUUAGGAAGAAGUUUAAAUAUGAACAUUAUUAUUUACUUCAUUAAGGUCUUAAGUGUUUUUGUUAUAUUGUAGGCUCCGCCACUUUUUUUUUUCCUGAAACUUAUAAAUGUGUGUGAUAUAUUGUAGGCACACCAUCACGAGUACAUAAUUCAAUUCCCAUAGAUGCAGAAACUUCUAGUUCCGCUCCACCUUAAGCUUCAUCAUCCACUACUAGAGCGCAGUGUUCUAUCAUCAAUCAAAGUGACAGCAGGUUUGGAAUUAUUUGAAUUAAAUGGUUCUUUUUGUUUGAUUGAAAAGUAUUGUUGUAAUUUUAAUAUAAUUAUCUUUGCAUUAAUAUUUCAGCUUUUUGUGGACACCUAAGGUAACUAGUAAAUUUUGUAAA